CAUGCAGUCUCUUGAUCCUUCGGGUGAAGGUGGCGGACGGGUGAGUAACGCGUAAAGAACUUGCCUUACAGACUGGGACAACAUUUGGAAACGAAUGCUAAUACCGGAUAUUAUGACUGAGUCGCAUGAUUUGGUUAUGAAAGCUAUAUGCGCUGUGAGAGAGCUUUGCGUCCCAUUAGUUAGUUGGUGAGGUAACGGCUCACCAAGACGAUGAUGGGUAGCCGGCCUGAGAGGGUGAACGGCCACAAGGGGACUGAGACACGGCCCUUACUCCUACGGGAGGCAGCAGUGGGGAAUAUUGGACAAUGGACCAAAAGUCUGAUCCAGCAAUUCUGUGUGCACGAUGAAGUUUUUCGGAAUGUAAAAGUGCUUUCAGUUGGGAAAGAAGUCAGUGACGGUACCAACAGAAGAAGCGACGGCUAAAUACGUGCCAGCAGCCGCGGUAAUACGUAUGUCGCAAGCGUUAUCCGGAUUUAUUGGGGUUAAAGCGCGUCUAGGCGGUUUAGUAAGUCUGAUGUGAAAAUGCGGGGCUCAACCCCGUAUUGCGUUUGGAAACUGCUAAAACUAGAGUACUGGAGAGGUAGGCGGAACUACAAGUGUAGAGGUGAAAUUCGUAGAUAUUUGUAGGAAUGCCGAUGGGGAAGCCAGCCUACUGGACAGAUACUGACGCUAAAGCGCGAAAGCGUGGGUAGCAAACAGGAUUAGAUACCCUGGUAGUCCACGCCGUAAACGAUGAUUACUAGGUGUUGGGGGUCGAACCUCAGCGCCCAAGCUAACGCGAUAAGUAAUCCGCCUGGGGAGUACGUACGCAAGUAUGAAACUCAAAGGAAUUGACGGGGACCCGCACAAGCGGUGGAGCAUGUGGUUUAAUUCGACGCAACGCGAGGAACCUUACCAGCGUUUGACAUCCCAAGAAGUUAACAGAGAUGUUUUUCGUGCCUCUUCGGAGGAACUUGGUGACAGGUGGUGCAUGGCUUGUCGUCAGCUCGUGUCGUGAGAUGUUGGGUUAAGUCCCGCAACGAGCGCAACCCCUUUCGUAUGUUACCAUCAUUAAGUUGGGGACUCAUGCGAGACUGCCUGCGAUGAGCAGGAGGAAGGUGGGGAUGACGUCAAGUCAUCAUGCCCCUUAUACGCUGGGCUACACACGUGCUACAAUGGGUAGUACAGAGAGCUGCAAACCUGCGAGGGUAAGCUAAUCUCAUAAAACUAUUCUUAGUUCGGAUUGUACUCUGCAACUCGAGUACAUGAAGUUGGAAUCGCUAGUAAUCGCAAAUCAGCUAUGUUGCGGUGAAUACGUUCUCGGGUCUUGUACACACCGCCCGUCACACCACGAGAGUUGGUUGCACCUGAAGUAACAGGCCUAACCCGUAAGGAGGGAU
This 1379-nucleotide ribosomal RNA is filed under the name bacterium NLAE-zl-G236. RNAcentral describes it as "bacterial SSU rRNA". It matches the Rfam family "Bacterial small subunit ribosomal RNA". The record is from RNAcentral.